This 274-nucleotide ribosomal RNA is filed under the name uncultured bacterium. RNAcentral describes it as "partial 16S ribosomal RNA". It matches the Rfam family "Bacterial small subunit ribosomal RNA", at positions 523 to 796 of the family's 1533-position model. The record is from RNAcentral.
AUACAGAGGGUGCGAGCGUUAAUCGGAAUUACUGGGCGUAAAGCGCGCGUAGGUGGUUAGUUAAGUUGGAUGUGAAAGCCCUGGGCUCAACCUGGGAAUGGCAUUCAAAACUGGCUGACUAGAGUAUGGUAGAGGGAAGGGGAAUUCCAGGUGUAGCGGUGAAAUGCGUAGAUAUCUGGAGGAACAUCAGUGGCGAAGGCGCCUUCCUGGACUAAUACUGACACUGAGGUGCGAAAGCGUGGGUAGCAAACAGGAUUAGAAACCCUAGUAGUCC